CCUACGGGCGGCAGCAGUGAGGAAUAUUGGUCAAUGGACGAGAGUCUGAACCAGCCAAGUAGCGUGAAGGAUGACUGCCCUAUGGGUUGUAAACUUCUUUUAUAAAGGAAUAAAACGAGGCACGUGUGCCUUUUUGCAUGUACUUUAUGAAUAAGGAUCGGCUAACUCCGUGCCAGCAGCCGCGGUAAUACGGAGGAUCCGAGCGUUAUCCGGAUGUAUUGGGUUUAAAGGGAGCGUAGAUGGGUUGUUAAGUCAGUUGUGAAAGUUUGCGGCUCAACCGUAAAAUUGCAAUUGAUACUGGCAGUCUUGAGUACAGUUGAGGUAGGCGGAAUUCGUGGUGUAGCGGUGAAAUGCUUAGAUAUCACGAAGAACCCCGAUUGCGAAGGCAGCUUACUAAACUGUGACUGACAUUGAUGCUCGAAAGUGUGGGUAUCAAACAGGAUUAGAUGCCCGGGUAGUC
RNAcentral lists this ribosomal RNA (460 nucleotides) under uncultured bacterium. RNAcentral describes it as "partial 16S ribosomal RNA". It matches the Rfam family "Bacterial small subunit ribosomal RNA", at positions 338 to 795 of the family's 1533-position model. The record is from RNAcentral.